RNAcentral lists this ribosomal RNA (484 nucleotides) under uncultured bacterium. RNAcentral describes it as "partial 16S ribosomal RNA". It matches the Rfam family "Bacterial small subunit ribosomal RNA", at positions 30 to 507 of the family's 1533-position model. The record is from RNAcentral.
AUUGAACGCUGGCGGCAGGCCUAACACAUGCAAGUCGAGCGGAUGAAGGGAGCUUGCUCCUGGAUUCAGCGGCGGACGGGUGAGUAAUGCCUAGGAAUCUGCCUGGUAGUGGGGGAUAACGUCCGGAAACGGGCGCUAAUACCGCAUACGUCCUGAGGGAGAAAGUGGGGGAUCUUCGGACCUCACGCUAUCAGAUGAGCCUAGGUCGGAUUAGCUAGUUGGUGGGGUAAAGGCUUACCAAGGCGACGAUCCGUAACUGGUCUGAGAGGAUGAUCAGUCACACUGGAACUGAGACACGGUCCAGACUCCUACGGGAGGCAGCAGUGGGGAAUAUUGGACAAUGGGCGAAAGCCUGACCCAGCCAUGCCGCGUGUGUGAAGAAGGUCUUCGGAUUGUAAAGCACUUUAAGUUGGGAGGAAGGGCAGUAAGUUAAUACCUGGCUGUUUUGACGUUACCAACAGAAUAAGCACCGGCUAACUUCGUG